Molecule: ribosomal RNA, 252 nt
Filed under: uncultured bacterium
Lineage: Bacteria
Description: partial 16S ribosomal RNA
Rfam family: Bacterial small subunit ribosomal RNA
Source: RNAcentral
UACGGAGGGUGCGAGCGUUGUUCGGAAUUACUGGGCGUAAAGCGCGUGUAGGCGGCCGAUUAAGUCUGGUGUGAAAGCCCGGGGCUCACCCCCGGAAGUGCGCUGGAAACUGGUCGGCUAGAGUAUGGGAGAGGAAAGUGGAAUUCCCGGUGGUAGCGGUGAAAUGCGUAGAUAUCGGGAGGAACACCAGCGGCGAAGGCGGCUUUCUGGGCUGUAACUGACCGCUGGAGGCGCGGAAAAGCGUGGGGGAGC